UACGGGGGGGGCAAGCGUUGUUCGGAAUUACUGGGCGUAAAGAGCUCGUAGGUGGUUUGUCGCGUUGUUCGUGAAAACUCACAGCUCAACUGUGGGCGUGCGGGCGAUACGGGCAGACUUGAGUACUGCAGGGGAGACUGGAAUUCCUGGUGUAGCGGUGGAAUGCGUAGAUAUCAGGAGGAAUACCGAUGGCGAAGGCAGGUCUCUGGGCUGACACUGACGCUCAUGCACGAAAGCGUGGGGAGCAAACAGG
Molecule: ribosomal RNA, 253 nt
Filed under: uncultured bacterium
Lineage: Bacteria
Description: partial 16S ribosomal RNA
Rfam family: Bacterial small subunit ribosomal RNA
Source: RNAcentral